This 405-nucleotide ribosomal RNA is filed under the name uncultured bacterium. Its description in RNAcentral is "bacterial SSU rRNA". It matches the Rfam family "Bacterial small subunit ribosomal RNA", at positions 355 to 774 of the family's 1533-position model. The record is from RNAcentral.
UGGGGAAUAUUGGGCAAUGGGCGCAAGCCUGGCCCAGCAACGCCGCGUGAAGGAAGAAGGCUUUCGGGUUGUAAACUUCUUUUAUAUGGGACGAAACAAAUGACGGUACCACAUGAAUAAGCCACGGCUAACUACGUGCCAGCAGCCGCGGUAAUACGGAGGGUCCAAGCGUUAUCCGGAUUUAUUGGGUUUAAAGGGAGCGUAGAUGGGUUGUUAAGUCAGUUGUGAGAGUUUGCGGCUCAACCGUAAAAUUGCAAUUGAUACUGGCAGCCUUGAGUAUAGUUGAGGUAAGCGGAAUUCGUGGUGUAGCGGUGAAAUGCUUAGAUAUCGAGAGGAACACUCGUGGCGAAGGCGGGUUCCUGGACAUUAACUGACGCUGAGGUACGAAGGCUAGGGUAGCGAAAG